UUUCUCUUUCUCUUUUCUAUUUUUUUUUGUCCUUCUCUUUGGUCUACCUUCACCCUCGCGUCACACGUUACUGAUCCUCACUUGACGCUUCACCGCUGGUGCCCCACUACUCCUCGCAGUUAUCGAUCAUAGGUGGCCCUCCUACGGGACGCUGAUUGCCCCUUCUGCCUUCGGUUCAAAGACCCAAAAAUUCCUGCUCACGGGGUGUCUUGUAAACUGUUUCACGCCAUUCCACCUCCUUCAAUCACCAAUCUUCAUUUUCAGAAAUUGCAGGCGGCUAUAUAUCGCAAAUACCUGUACAACUUGAUGAGUGAUUGGUUUGUGGCUGGGACUUGGGAAAUGCUUGAUGUAUUUGUCAUUUACAGGUAUGGCUUCUAACAUUUCGCAUUCUAACCCAUCGAAACCUGUCACUUUACAGGUGUCUGCCAGCUCACAAGUAUCUGCCACUUCACAAACAAUAUCAUAGGCUUCACCCAUUAGCAAUAGCAUUCUUAGAUUAAUUGCUACACCUACUUUAAGGGCAUUGCAUGUUUAUACACCACCAGUUUUCUUGAUGCCUACUGUCAACCCAUUUUCUAAGGCUACUGAUGAUACCACCAUCAUAGAUACUUCAAGUACUUGCUCUAAGAAAGCCAUGGUUUCUUAAACUCUAGGCCCACUCUCAGGUUUGGUCGUAGAGGCUGCUAUUGUUGGCCCAUUAGCACUUCCACGUGCUAUCCCAAUUCCUCCUUUCCCUCUAGGAGAAUACAAGAAAUUGCAAGUCAACAAUCACCUGAAGCCACCUCCUCGACUUAGAGAUGUUAAGUCUUGUCCGCGACAAUCAUCAAUUUAGGAAGCAUGGAUCAACAAGCUUCAUUCUUGUUUCUCCAAUACUUGGAAGCUUCUUGGCAUUUAUGACUUCAUUAAGCUGACUAGAUUUGCCCUUCCUUGCUGCCCCAUGGUAAUUGUAGGUUAUUUAAGACUUUGGUCCCAAUCAUGUAACUUCUUUAUACUGCUAAUGGGCCCUAUGUCAAUCACCUUAAAGGACAUUAAGAUUCUCACCGAUCUAUCUAUUGUUGAAACAGAGAUGUGCUUCUCAUGAUUACCUAUCGCUGGCUUCUCUCUUACGACAAGCAACCCUUGUGCCCUUAGUACUAUAUUGCUGGCUUCCAUAUUUCGGUCCAUGUCCUCAUGGUCUCUAAUGCACCUGUGAGUAAAGUAAGUGGUGAAUUCUGGAUUGCACAGAUAUGGUUACUUUCAUACUUUCCAAAGCUAGCAAGUUCUUCACCAUCCUCAGUUGAUGGUGUCUUUGUAAAGAGUUGUAUCACUAGCUUGUGAAUGGGAUGAGCAUCAAGUAUUAAAAUCUUAGUUCAGCUACC
Hevea brasiliensis (rubber tree) is the source of this 1358-nucleotide long non-coding RNA. RefSeq lists it as uncharacterized. NCBI's taxonomy places the organism in Eukaryota, Viridiplantae, Streptophyta, Magnoliopsida, Malpighiales, Euphorbiaceae. The record is from RefSeq and is a predicted model, not a curated record. The transcript is spliced from 5 exons.